This 1130-nucleotide small RNA is filed under the name Rattus norvegicus (Norway rat). RNAcentral describes it as "uncharacterized LOC102549959". The record is from RNAcentral. Lineage: Eukaryota; Metazoa; Chordata; Mammalia; Rodentia; Muridae.
UCCUCCUCCUCCUUCACCACACAGGUCAGGAGAUACUCCUUAAAGCUUUGUCAUCAACAGUUGUUCAUUGUGUGUUGUCCUUAAGCUUCCAGGGCCUCCGCUGAAGUCUGGGAGGAAUCUUAGCUGAGGACCUGGGUUCAGUUCCUAGCACAUGGUGGUUCACAAACAUCUUAAACUUGAGUUCCGGGUGUUGUGUUUUCUGGUGUCUGAAGCCAACACUUCAUACACAUGGCGAGGCAUGGAUGUACGAGCAGGCCAAGUACUCAUGGAUUUAAAAGAAAUCUUCAAAACAAUCCUAUAACCGGACAGACUGACGCUGAGUCCCACAAAAGGCCCCAAGGAAAACAACUUCACUGGGACCCUUCUGAACUUUGCUCUACGGGCUUUGAUCUCCAAAAUGUCGAGAUCUGAGUGUAAGUCAUCUGAGAUGAGGGAACCUUAGCUGAUAAAAUGCCUUCUUCAGAUCGACCACAAUACCUCCUUUAGAUCGGCCACGUUCAGUGUAGCGGGAAAUAUUUAAAAAAGGAGCACCAUCUCACGCUAGCACCGGCACCUCGGGUCACAUGGCACCAGCGUGGGGGUGUUCUCAUCUCAGCCAGCCAGAUUCUGCAGACUCUCUAGCCUGGAGCUCUUGAAAUGUCUAUACCCGACUUGCUGUGUUCCCACGUCAGGUUGCUGCCACGCCAGCCCCAUGCAAUGACUGCCCAUCUCACCGUUGGCUGUCACAAAUUCCUGUAUCCCGGCCAAAUCAAAACUCUUGAAGCUUGUAAUUUAUCAAUCAGAUUUAUAUCAGUAAAUUAUGACCCCAUAAAAUGUCCACACAAUAAAUUCACCUAGAUAAGACAAAUUGUCCGGUAAUUAUCCAUUCUUUACAAGAUAGUCAUAGCUACCUGUGACUAUUUAAAGUCACACGGAACUGGGUCAUCCUUCUCUUCCUCCAUCUUCCUCCUCCUCUCUUCCCCCCUCUGACCGGGAAGUCCCACCUACUCCUUGCCCAGUGAAAUCUGUAUUCAUUAGGGGAAGGUCCCUGCCACAGCUCAGGGCUAUCCUCCAGGCCAAACUGCCACCUUCUUUACAAGUUUAGCUGGACCUGCUCUCCAACAAUCCCCACAGCGGGACGUGUAGGUGGU